RNAcentral lists this non-coding RNA (25 nucleotides) under Cricetulus griseus (Chinese hamster). The record is from RNAcentral. Lineage: Eukaryota; Metazoa; Chordata; Mammalia; Rodentia; Cricetidae.
ACCUCUGAUAGCGCAGAAACGUAAG